This 404-nucleotide ribosomal RNA is filed under the name uncultured bacterium. Its description in RNAcentral is "bacterial SSU rRNA". It matches the Rfam family "Bacterial small subunit ribosomal RNA", at positions 355 to 776 of the family's 1533-position model. The record is from RNAcentral.
UGGGGAAUAUUGCACAAUGGGGGGGACCCUGAUGCAGCGACGCCGCGUGAAGGAAGAAGUAUCUCGGUAUGUAAACUUCUAUCAGCAGGGAAGAUAGUGACGGUACCUGACUAAGAAGCCCCGGCUAACUACGUGCCAGCAGCCGCGGUAAUACGUAGGGGGCAAGCGUUAUCCGGAUUUACUGGGUGUAAAGGGAGCGUAGACGGAUUAGCAAGUCUGAUGUGAAAGGCAGAGGCUCAACCCCUGGACUGCAUUGGAAACUGCCAGUCUUGAGUGCCGGAGAGGUAAGCGGAAUUCCUAGUGUAGCGGUGAAAUGCGUAGAUAUUAGGAGGAACACCAGUGGCGAAGGCGGCUUACUGGACGGCAACUGACGUUGAGGCUCGAAAGCGUGGGGAGCAAACAGG